UAAAUACUACUCGCCGUCUAAGUCUAUUCACAAUUCCAUUGAAAUUCACAGUUAAAAUGGCGACCUGGAACAAGAUUUUCUUCGUUUGCGUGUUGGUACCCGCCUUACUGAUGGCGAUCGUCCUACCAGCAGUUACAGCGGAAGAUUCAGCGGAACAUUCAGUUAUGGUGAAGAGGGGUAUCAAUCUUGCUAAAGUUGUGAAAGUAGUCAAACCAGUAGUAAAAGCACUGGCACCUUUAUUGGCAAACAUCUAACCCGGAACAUCCGGAGCCUACGGUAUCUUUAAAUUAACCUUUGUCAAAUUUCUACAAUAAAUGUUGCGAGCGUAUACAAAA
Molecule: long non-coding RNA, 335 nt
Organism: Bactrocera neohumeralis
Lineage: Eukaryota; Metazoa; Arthropoda; Insecta; Diptera; Tephritidae
Exons: 2
Source: RefSeq, a predicted model, not a curated record